GACGAACGCUGGCGGCGUGCUUAACACAUGCAAGUCGAACGAUGAAGCCGGAGCUUGCUCUGGUGAAUUAGUGGCGAACGGGUGAGUAACACGUGAGUAACCUGCCCAUAAGACUGGGAUAACUCCGGGAAACCGGGGCUAAUACCGGAUAAUAUUUUGAACUGCAUGGUUCAAAAUUGAAAGGCGGCUUCGGCUGUCACUUAUGGAUGGACCCGCGUCGCAUUAGCUAGUUGGUGAGGUAACGGCUCACCAAGGCAACGAUGCGUAGCCGACCUGAGAGGGUGAUCGGCCACACUGGGACUGAGACACGGCCCAGACUCCUACGGGAGGAAGCAGUAGGGAAUCUUCCGCAAUGGACGAAAGUCUGACGGAGCAACGCCGCGUGAGUGAUGAAGGCUUUCGGGUCGUAAAACUCUGUUGUUAGGGAAGAACAAGUGCUAGUUGAAUAAGCUGGCACCUUGACGGUACCUAACCAGAAAGCCACGGCUAACUACGUGCCAGCCGCCGCCGUAA
RNAcentral lists this ribosomal RNA (513 nucleotides) under uncultured bacterium. Its description in RNAcentral is "partial 16S ribosomal RNA". It matches the Rfam family "Bacterial small subunit ribosomal RNA", at positions 28 to 523 of the family's 1533-position model. The record is from RNAcentral.